RNAcentral lists this ribosomal RNA (468 nucleotides) under uncultured bacterium. RNAcentral describes it as "partial 16S ribosomal RNA". It matches the Rfam family "Bacterial small subunit ribosomal RNA", at positions 28 to 507 of the family's 1533-position model. The record is from RNAcentral.
GACGAACGCUGGCGGCGUGCUUAACACAUGCAAGUCGAACGGAAAGGCCCUGCUUUUGUGGGGUGCUCGAGUGGCGAACGGGUGAGUAACACGUGAGUAACCUGCCCUUGACUUUGGGAUAACUUCAGGAAACUGGGGCUAAUACCGGAUAGGAGCUCCUGCUGCAUGGUGGGGGUUGGAAAGUUUCGGCGGUUGGGGAUGGACUCGCGGCUUAUCAGCUUGUUGGUGGGGUAGUGGCUUACCAAGGCUUUGACGGGUAGCCGGCCUGAGAGGGUGACCGGCCACAUUGGGACUGAGAGACGGCCCAGAGUCGUACGGGAGGCAGCAGUGGGGAAUAUUGUACAAUGGGCGGAAGCCUGAUGCAGCAACGCCGCGUGCGGGAUGACGGCCUUCGGGUUGUAAACCGCUUUCGCCUGUGACGAAGCGUGAGUGACGGUAAUGGGUAAAGAAGCACCGGCUAACUACGUG